Long non-coding RNA from Cavia porcellus (domestic guinea pig), 2338 nucleotides. RefSeq lists it as uncharacterized. The transcript is spliced from 3 exons. Lineage: Eukaryota; Metazoa; Chordata; Mammalia; Rodentia; Caviidae. The record is from RefSeq and is a predicted model, not a curated record.
UUCCAGCAUGAGUUGUGGAAAGACACCAACUUUUAGCCUAUGCCACAGAGUUUGUGGUAUGUGAUAUGUGGUCUCGGUGUGGUGUGUGGUACGUGGUAUGUGGUUUGUGUUCAUUUUUAAAUAAAAAGAAAUAUUUUUUUAGAUUUCUGAGAAUGACCUAUUCUACAAGAGAAAAUAAUUAGAAAACAGAGGAUGAAACAAAGGCCCUAAAAAAGGAAAGAAGAUUACUACAAGCAUCUGAUGUCUAUAUAUUGACACCUAUACAGUGGACUGUGGUUCACAGAACAUUUCUGUUUGUGAACAAUUCAGUAAAAGUUAAGUAAAUAAGGAGGAUCACCAGGAAGCCAUGCAACCUCUCUGUGUGGCGAGGGGGCCCUGCUGGCCCGGGGAGAGGCAUCAAAGACGCCAAGCAGCUGCCCUGUGUGCUGGAAGAAGACUUGUCAGCCAGAGAGAGCAGCAGAGGCUAUCUCCGCCUCCCCCUCCCCACUGACCCUUAAGCAGCCGUCACAGUGCAGGCUGAGAUGAUAAUACCUGAUGUAACUGAAGGAGGGAAGCACCCUGACAUUUAUGUUGUCUGAUUGACUUUGCAGGCCUGUGGCCAUCAGUCUAGAUGACUAUUUAAAGGAUAACAAUGUGUAAUACAGUAGUAAUUGUGGAUUUCCUGUCCUAUUAUUGUUUUGUUUCAUUUUACUGUUGUUUUACUCCCUUUAAAAUAAAAAAGCAGAGUUUUUCUCAAGUUUUGUAUGCGUUUGAAGGCCAUAUGUGUGGGAUGCAUUGAAUAUUUAUCUGAAAGAAAACUCUUGUUUGGGCAAAAACCUGUCUUAUGCUUCUUCUCGAGAACUGGUAAAAAUUCAAUUGUUUUAUUUCCUAUUCCUUUUAUUUCAUGAUGCUAAUCAAAUUUGAUUAAUUUGAUAGGGACUAGGGAUUUAACUCAGUUGCACAAGUGCCUUCCUGGCAAGUGUGAGGUCAUAAGUUUGAUCUAUGGUACAAAAAAAAAAAAUCUGUGAUAUAAAAUUUCACUUUACAGAGAAAAAUCUGCGACAUGUGUUAAUUUACAAAGAAAAGAUAAUUUGCAUCUCCCCUGUUAUUUGUAGCUGCUUGUUUAAUCACAUGCACUUUAACCAAGCCCAGGAUUCUCUGCUUUCUUCCAAAAGAUAAAUUAAAAGAUGUAAAGUUUUUUUGAUGAAUAAAGUCAAUUAGAUCUUAGUAAGAAAUGCUUUUCUCUUUUUGAGAUUACUUGCUUUCUAGGUGUAAUUAUUUAAAUAUAAUUAGAAAAGAAUAAUUUUCUCACACAGGGUGGCUAGAAAGCAAAUCUCUUGCCAAAAAAUACAGACUCUAAUAAUCAUUUAUUCAGACACUUUUGUUUUGUACAUAAUUAAAUUGGUUCAAAGUCCAAUAGCCAAUGAGAGGCACAGGUGGGGUUUGAUUUUGACUAUUUUGGAGAAACAAAUAAAAAGCAUUUUAUCUGAAGUUUUUUUGUUGUUGUUAAUAAGAAUGUACAUAGCUUGGAAAAAUUAAUUUAUUUGAACUGGUCUUUUUUAAGCAGUGUGUUCAAUAAUUAGUAAUGAAAUAUUGUGGCUUUCCUUGCACUAAUUGUAUGCUGCCUUCUGUGAAAUGUAAAGAAUACUGAAAAAGGUAAAUGACAAACUGUGUAUGCUCUUAAGUAAUCUCAUUUAACAUUGGGGUCAUGCCAUUCUUGUUUGUAUGCUGUUAGUUAAAACUGACAAAAUACAUAGCACUGGGAUAACUCAGUGACAAUGGUGUAUGUAAUGCAGUAUGUCAAAUUGAUAGUAGAAGUUUCCAAAUACACUUUGUGUAAAAUUUUGUGUGCAGUUAGCUGAGUACUGAAAAAUUAUCUGCUUAACCAACAGAUUUCAUAUGGUUCUUACCUGACAAGUAAAACUACUUGAAUAUUCAAAAGCUGUUUCUCAAGACUGAAUACAUCUUGCAGACAGCUUAUGUUUAACAUUUGCCAAGUUUUAUAAAACAUUGCUCUGGUGAAAAUUCCCUAAUUUAGUUCUCAAACCUCAAAGCUUCUUGGAAUUCUAUUCAUGUCACACUCAAUUCUAAAGUAACUAAAAGUCUGAACAUUGGGGAAAUGAUAUAAUAGAAGAUCAUCUUCUGACCUGAAAAUGGAACUAAAUUUAUAAUAUUGAUUGUUGCUUUAUAAUAGGUUAUAAAACACAUUAGAUUAUGUUUUAAAAUAAUUGUAAUUAUUGUAAUCAAGAAAAAUAUUUCCUAAUAUUUAAAAAAUUAUCUAUUGAAUAGUGACAAAGCAAACUGCAUAUGUGAUUAUAAAUUCAGUGUUACAGUGGAAGGUUUUAUUGAAAUUUGACAA